UUAUAGUUUUAUUCUGACUAUAAAAUUAAUUUUUUCAUGAAAUUACAUGGGUUUUACUAAAUACUUUUUUUUCCAGUAAUUAAAAUUAUAAAAUAUUAUUUAAUGAAAUAAUCAAUGAAUUAAGGUAGAUAAAUAUUUGUGCCAGCAUUCGCGGUUAAACAAUUUACUUAAAUUAAUUUUUUUAGUUAAUAAUUAUAUUUAUACAAAGGUUUAGUUUAUUUUUAUUUAGGUGGAAUUUAUAAUUUCAAUUAAACUCUUAACUUAUUUUUUAUUAAAUUUUUAAAUUAAACUAGGAUUAGAUACCCUAUUAUAAAUUAAUGUAAAUUUAAACUUAAAUAGUAUUAGCUAUAUUCUUUAAAGCUUAAAGAAUUUGGCGGUAAAAUAUCUUUUUAGAGGAACCUGUAGAUUAAUUGAUAAACCACGAUAUUUUUUACUCUUUAAAGUUAUUUGUAUAUCGCUAUACUUAAGAAUGUUUUGAUAAAAUAUUUUCUUUAACUUAAAAGAUGUAUAUUAGGUCAAGGUGCAGUUUUUAAUGAAGUUUUUAUGGGUUACUUUUUUUUUAAUUUUGAGAAUAUUUUCCUAUUGAAGGUUUAUUGAAUAAGGAUUUGAUAGUAAAUUUAAUUAAUUAAUUAAUUUGAAUUUUGUUCUAUUUUAUGCACAUAUCGCCCGUCACUCCUGAUUUAAAUUAGGAUAAGUCGUAACAAAGUAACUCUACCGGAAGGUAGAGUUAGAAUGUAAA
RNAcentral lists this non-coding RNA (739 nucleotides) under Scaphoideus maai. Lineage: Eukaryota; Metazoa; Arthropoda; Insecta; Hemiptera; Cicadellidae. The record is from RNAcentral.